RNAcentral lists this ribosomal RNA (253 nucleotides) under uncultured bacterium. Its description in RNAcentral is "partial 16S ribosomal RNA". It matches the Rfam family "Bacterial small subunit ribosomal RNA", at positions 524 to 776 of the family's 1533-position model. The record is from RNAcentral.
GACGAACCGUGCGAACGUUAUUCGGAUUCACUGGGCUUAAAGGGCGCGUAGGCGGCUCCGCGAGUCGGGGGUGAAAUCUUUCAGCCCAACUGGAAGAGGGCCUCCGAGACCGCGGGACUCGAGGGGGAUAGGGGUGCGCGGAACUUCCGGUGGAGCGGUGAAAUGCGUAGAUAUCGGAAGGAACGCCGGUGGCGAAAGCGGCGCACUGGAUCCCUACUGACGCUGAGGCGCGAAAGCCAGGGGAGCGAACGGG